UGGGGAAUUUUGGACAAUGGGCGAAAGCCUGAUCCAGCAAUGCCGCGUGUGUGAAGAAGGCCUUCGGGUUGUAAAGCACUUUUGUCCGGAAAGAAAUCCUUGGCUCUAAUACAGUCGGGGGAUGACGGUACCGGAAGAAUAAGCACCGGCUAACUACGUGCCAGCAGCCGCGGUAAUACGUAGGGUGCAAGCGUUAAUCGGAAUUACUGGGCGUAAAGCGUGCGCAGGCGGUUUGCUAAGACCGAUGUGAAAUCCCCGGGCUCAACCUGGGAACUGCAUUGGUGACUGGCAGGCUAGAGUAUGGCAGAGGGGGGUAGAAUUCCACGUGUAGCAGUGAAAUGCGUAGAGAUGUGGAGGAAUACCGAUGGCGAAGGCAGCCCCCUGGGCCAAUACUGACGCUCAUGCACGAAAGCGUGGGGGAGCAAAACAGGAUUAGAUACCCUGGUAGUCCACGCCCUAAACGU
Molecule: ribosomal RNA, 464 nt
Filed under: uncultured bacterium
Lineage: Bacteria
Description: partial 16S ribosomal RNA
Rfam family: Bacterial small subunit ribosomal RNA
Source: RNAcentral